This 2108-nucleotide ribosomal RNA is filed under the name Triticum aestivum (bread wheat). RNAcentral's name for it is "partial small subunit ribosomal RNA". Lineage: Eukaryota; Viridiplantae; Streptophyta; Magnoliopsida; Poales; Poaceae. The record is from RNAcentral.
CAGGCUACGCGGGGCCGGCCAGCGCCCAUGCCGCUCCCAGCGGUGGUCGUGCCGUCUAAAAUUAGGGCUGCUGUCGUUGUCAGGAAUAGGUGGCGCGAGCGCGGAGGUAAUUAAGCGGGGAGGUUUGGCGAGGGCAGACGCAAACGAAGACAUGAGAGAGAUAGAGAGAGAAGGAGGGGGCGGGGGCGGCACACUUCAGCGUUCUUAGAAGAAGGACCCGGCGACGGCGGCGACGCUCGACGCUACCGCUGCCGCUGCCGCUGCCCCGUCACCAUCAAUCAUGGGUAGGUGCGUUCAGUUUUCCCCGGUAUCUAGAGAGGCAUAUAUCGCGUCGGGGUGCCGCCGGCCAAGUAAAAACGAGCGAUCGACGACGACGCGCUCCCUCAUCCUCAUCCCUCCCUCUUUCGCUCUCCGGAGGACGAUACGGGUACCUGAUGCCCUUCUCCGUCGUCCCGCCGCCCCACCACCGCUAGCUCACGCACCGCCCGCCCAGCGCCCGCCUCCUCACCCCGUGCCCGACGCGGCUCUGCCACGUCUGGCCGCUGCACCACCUCCUCGAGGAGUAGCCCCACCCGCCGGCGCCGCCCGGCCGGCACGUGCGGCGCGGGAAGUUCCCGCCGGCGCGGCGCGACGUCUUCGACGACGUGCGGCGGAUGUUCGCGUCCCUGUGCAGGCACCUCCACGCGCACGCCGCGGGGCGCGUGCGCGCCGUCGUCGACCACGGCCCCCUCAGCCUGUCGUCGCCGCUCGACGACCCGGGGCCGAGGCUGCGCCGCCGGCGGUCCUACGUCCGGACGUAGCACGGCGUCCUCUGGCCGCCGCCGCCGCCGCCCUACCGCUACCACCCCGCGUCGGUCUUCAUGCACGAGGCCAGGUAGGCGCUGGGGUUGAUGCGGCAGCCGGAGCAGCUGGCGUCGCUCUCGCUCACGCAGCGGAAGGCUCCCAGAGCCUCGAGAGCCCACCACACGCGCGACUCGUUCCGCGUCGACGUCCUGCCGAUGCACAGGAUGGGCACCCUCUUCUUCUACUUCCUCCACGACGGCCACGGGUCGCGGUCGUCGAAGGAGAGGGACGAGCAGGAGGGGUGGCGCGAGCUGGCGCGGUUGAGGGCGAUGUUGAGGCAGCUGCUGUGCGACCGGGCGCGGUUGCGGACCAAGGAGCGGAGCGUCCGGCGGCCCCACGGGUAGCGGAAGGAGUUGCAGGUCUGGCUCCGGGAGGAGUGGUUCUAGAGGCCGCUGUACCGGAGCCGCUGCCAGUUGAGCCCCAGUGACCGGCUGGAGGGGUUGGAGCGGUUGCGCUCGGAGAUGCCCAAGCUCCUGAUGGUGCCGCACCUGUAGCCGCACCACUUCCGCCACGCGGAGACCAAGUGGCGCCGGCGGCCUCUUUACGGGCACCUCUAGUGGGAGCUCCUCCCGCUGUGGUUCGAGCCGAAGCGGUAGUCGGCGUGGCUCCUCCCGAAGGAGAUGUAGAGCAGCCACUACCUUCUGCUGUCGCUGGCCGGCUGCGGCAGCUGCGCCAGCCCCGACGCCCUGGAGAUGGCCCUCCGCUUCGCGCGCAGGUUCGACGACCAGUAGAGGGCCCACAGCACGGCGUUCCACGACGGCACCUACCACAGGUGGAGGCCCCGGUAGGCCACGAAGCUGUGGCACAGAGAGUCGGUCUUCGACAGGGACGUGGCCGUGCGGGACGCGGGGUAGGACGAGGUGCACGAGUACACCCUGAAGCCGUGGCUGCGCGGCUUGGCCGGCGUCCCCCGCGGCACGGGCUGCGGCGUCGGCAGGGGCCGCAAGCGGCUCGACGACGCCGUCUUGAGGAAGAGCACCCAGCUGUUGGUCGGCCGCGUCCGCCUGCCGCUCGGCCCCUACCAGGUCCCCUCCCUGUGGCGGCCCCUGCGGAGGAAGUCCAAGGUGUUGAAGAGCGACGGGUUGUUGACCCAGACUUCAAACUACUUUGCGGAGCUGAUGCACGAACCGGCGACACGACAUGUAUACAUGUAGAGCUAAUCGGCCAAACACUACUCUUCUUUGUUGCGAAACGUCACAGUGUCGAAUGACGGGUCUCACCUCACCUGAUAUUGAAACUGGGGAUUUUAUCACAAUGAUCACGAC